This 305-nucleotide ribosomal RNA is filed under the name uncultured bacterium. RNAcentral's name for it is "bacterial SSU rRNA". It matches the Rfam family "Bacterial small subunit ribosomal RNA", at positions 337 to 659 of the family's 1533-position model. The record is from RNAcentral.
ACCUACGGGGCGCAGCAGUGGGGGAUAUUGCACAAUGGGGGGAACCCUGAUGCAGCGACGCCGCGUGGGUGAAGAAGCGCCUCGGCGCGUAAAGCCCUGUCAGCAGGGAAGAAAAAGACGGUACCUGAAGAAGAAGCCCCGGCUAACUACGUGCCAGCAGCCGCGGUAAUACGUAGGGGGCAAGCGUUAUCCGGAUUUACUGGGUGUAAAGGGGGCGCAGACGGCGAUGCAGGCCAGGAGUGAAAGCCCGGGGCCCAACCCCGGGACUGCUCUUGGAACUGCGUGGCUGGAGUGCAGGAGGGGCG